RNAcentral lists this ribosomal RNA (227 nucleotides) under uncultured bacterium. RNAcentral describes it as "partial 16S ribosomal RNA". It matches the Rfam family "Bacterial small subunit ribosomal RNA", at positions 114 to 334 of the family's 1533-position model. The record is from RNAcentral.
CACGUAAAGAACCUGCCUCAUAGACUGGGACAACUAUUGGAAACGAUAGCUAAUACCGGAUAACAGCAUUAACUGCAUGGUUGAUGUUUAAAAGUUGGUUUUUGCUAACACUAUGAGAUGGCUUUGCGGUGCAUUAGCUAGUUGGUGGGGUAAAGGCCUACCAAGGCGACGAUGCAUAGCCGACCUGAGAGGGUGAUCGGCCACACUGGGACUGAGACACGGCCCAG